CGCCUCUAGACACAAAAAUUAGAGGUCCAUUCUGCCCUAUGCCCUACGGGGUAAAUGGCCGCGGUAGCCUGACCGUGCUAAGGUAGCAUAAUCAUUUGCCGUUUAAUUGAUGGCUGGAAUGAAUGAAUAUACGUAAGCUCAACUGUCUCCUUUUUACCUAUAAAAAUUGACCUCCAAGUGAAGAGACUUGGAUUGACCAAAAAGACGAAAAGACCCUAUAGAGCUUCACCUGACCUUCACUCGUCCAAGAGAAGGUUUAGUUGGGGCAACUAGAGAGUACCUAAAACCUCUCUUCCAAAAAACCUAUUUAGAUCCGUUACACGAUCAGCAGAGAAAGCUACCUUAGGGAUAACAGGCUAAUCCUCUUUGAGAGACCAUAUUGACAAGAGGGGUUGGCACCUCGAUGUUGGCUCAAGGUUACAGCUUGAUGCAGCAGUCAAGCAUAGUGGGUUUGUUCACCCUUUAAAUCCUU
Molecule: ribosomal RNA, 472 nt
Filed under: Boccardia proboscidea
Lineage: Eukaryota; Metazoa; Annelida; Polychaeta; Spionida; Spionidae
Description: partial 16S ribosomal RNA
Rfam family: Bacterial large subunit ribosomal RNA
Source: RNAcentral